Long non-coding RNA from Strongylocentrotus purpuratus (purple sea urchin), 2038 nucleotides. RefSeq lists it as uncharacterized. The record is from RefSeq and is a predicted model, not a curated record. Lineage: Eukaryota; Metazoa; Echinodermata; Echinoidea; Camarodonta; Strongylocentrotidae. The transcript is spliced from 3 exons.
GUUCAUGGCAUCAUCGCUAAACACACUCGUACAUUGACCGAGAGUAACCCCUCCGCACAUCCCAUUUGAGACGACCGCAUUAGGAGUACAACUGAAGCAUCAAUGUGUGCUCGAUGUUAUCCCCAUAGCAACAAGAUGCUAUCCAAUCCAGAGUGGUAUCUAGGAGGACACCUGGACCGGUGGAAAGGAGGGAGAUGAGCAGGAGUUAAUCACGUCGUCAUCUGGUACCAUCCUUAUACACUGACUGUGAGGAAACCCACCUGUGCAUUCUAUUUGGGAUGACUGCACCAAGAGUGCAACGGAGGAACCAACUUGUGCUUGAUGUUAUCACCAUGGCAAUGAGAUGCUUUCCGCAUCCAUAGUGGUAUCCAGGAGGAGAGUGGUAUCCAGGAGGAGAGCAGGUCCAUGAGAGAGGAGGGGAGGAGGCAAAGGAUCUCGCCGCCGCCGCCGAGAUGCGUGAAAUCUAAGAAAGAUGAAACUAAGGCAUCUGCUUCAGCUCGUCACGCACGCAGCGAGCUGGAGGGGAAACUUCUCGCCUCCCCCGCUUCUCUGGAUCUCUCUCUCUCUUUACCCCUCCUCCCCAUCUUCCAGAUUCCCCCAGAGGAUGGGCUGAGAUGGGGGAUGCGGUGUUGCGAUGAUGGAGUUAUGGCAUCCGAUAGAGUCCCCCUGAUUAGUCACCUGGUGGUAGUCAACAUCCCAGGAUAGUUCAAGAUUAAUUCCCAAGCGAUGGACUUAAAUUGUUUUCUUUAAUCUUUGGGAUACGUUUAGCAGCUUUUAUUGGAUUUCUGGGUUGACUCUUCAGGUAUUUGUUCUAUUUCAUUACCAUAAUGUGUUCUUGUUAGGCGUUGGCAUCUUCAUUAGCAAAGAUUACUUCAUUCCUGGAAAAUGGGAUUUUUCACAGCUAAAGUCCUUUUAGAAAAAUUGUCUGGAAUAUCAGGUUACUAGAAAUCAAAUUUUAAUUGGAUAAUCCAUCAUCUCCAAUGAGAAGGGAUGACUUAAAAUGAUAAUACUCCCACAAAGAGAUCCAAGUUUGACAUUUAAAUGUAAUUAUGUAAGCUUUGCAUGUUCAAAUAGGAUUCAAAUUACUGUGGGUGAAUACUCCCUCGUCUUGAAGACGUAGUACAUUAGUUUUUUAUGUGUGUGUAUCUAAACGUUAAAAGCUAUAGCAAUUUCUGUUAAGUAUUAAACUACCAAUGUAGCUUGGCAAGCAUUUUACUUUGUUAAUUUUACGUUCUUAGGUAACUCAUCGACAAGAAGGAUGAGAACUGUUUCAUUCAACUUUUCCUUAUCAGAUUUGCAUUUCCGGUACUAACAUUUUUCCUUGAUUUUCAAGACAUAUCAUGUGUAAAUUUCAUUUUCCGUAUUUCAACGAGCAAAAAAAAAAAAAAAUUUGAAGGAAAAUAAUGGAUUGUGCUUCACAACAUUAAGUGGAUUGGAAGGAAAUUGAAACUUUUGUAGUUAUACAAAAAUGAAUUACGAUGUGAAGUACACUUCUUUUGUAUGAAAGAGAAAAAAGGACAGUAAUUCUGUAUUACAAGGAUGAUCUGCAGGCACAAUGGUGCUUGAAAUGUAUUCACUUGUAUUUUUCUCUCAAGAUUUUAGAUGACUGAAAGCUUUUGAAUUAUGAGCAAGGAGCCAUAGAUUGACCCUUGUCCGGCAAUCAUCUUAAAUUAACUCCCACUUGCAAUGUUUGAGGGAUGUCCACUAGCAAUAUUAGUUUGUAGGGGGGCUUAUUGCUGAGAGAGUUAUGAUUAUGAAAGAUUAUAUUUGGACUUUAUUGAAGCUGACAGGCAGUGAUUUACUAUGGAAAUUAUGAAAUUGUACCCCAGUUCAUAGAAAAUAUUGUUAUCAUUAUGAAUAAAUGUUGUUGCGAGGCCUUUUGUAGGACUCUGUUGAACAGGGAAUGGAUAUUAUAAAAGUGACUGCAUGACGAUUUUAAAUUCUGCUGUAGUAUAUAUUUCAUAAAUCUGUUUUACAGUUUUCUUACCUUCAGUAUUGUAUUUAAAAACUUAAGAAACUUUGUCAGCAAAUUUUUGUU